UUCCUCUUGGAGGUGCUGAGGAUUAAAUGA
RNAcentral lists this non-coding RNA (30 nucleotides) under Homo sapiens (human). The record is from RNAcentral. Lineage: Eukaryota; Metazoa; Chordata; Mammalia; Primates; Hominidae.